UGGGGAAUAUUGCAUAAUGGGCGCAAGCCUGAUGCAGCCAUGCCGCGUGUAUGAAGAAGGCCUUCGGGUUGUAAAGUACUUUCAGCGGGGAGGAAGGGAGUAAAGUUAAUACCUUUGCUCAUUGACGUUACCCGCAGAAGAAGCACCGGCUAACUCCGUGCCAGCAGCCGCGGUAAUACGGAGGGUGCAAGCGUUAAUCGGAAUUACUGGGCGUAAAGCGCACGCAGGCGGUCUGUCAAGUCGGAUGUGAAAUCCCCGGGCUCAACCUGGGAACUGCAUUCGAAACUGGCAGGCUAGAGUCUUGUAGAGGGGGGUAGAAUUCCAGGUGUAGCGGUGAAAUGCGUAGAGAUCUGGAGGAAUACCGGUGGCGAAGGCGGCCCCCUGGACAAAGACUGACGCUCAGGUGCGAAAGCGUGGGGAGCAAACAGG
RNAcentral lists this ribosomal RNA (429 nucleotides) under Chloroflexota bacterium. Its description in RNAcentral is "Chloroflexi bacterium partial 16S ribosomal RNA". It matches the Rfam family "Bacterial small subunit ribosomal RNA", at positions 355 to 776 of the family's 1533-position model. Lineage: Bacteria; Bacillati; Chloroflexota. The record is from RNAcentral.